This 800-nucleotide ribosomal RNA is filed under the name Ifalukella yanii. Its description in RNAcentral is "eukaryotic LSU rRNA". It matches the Rfam family "Eukaryotic large subunit ribosomal RNA", at positions 402 to 1002 of the family's 3401-position model. The record is from RNAcentral. Lineage: Eukaryota; Metazoa; Cnidaria; Anthozoa; Scleralcyonacea; Ifalukellidae.
AAACCGUUGAAAGGGAAGCGAAUGGAGUUAGCAAUUCGCCGUGCGAGAUUCAGUUCGCGCGCGCGGAGCGGCUUGCUCGUCCUCGAUCUUUGUAGACGAGGCGGUCAGGCACGCUCUGCUCGCCGGGCGCACUUCUCGUCGGCGAGCGUCAGCUUCGGUUGGCCGCGAGCAAAAAGGUCGCGAGGAAGGUAAGCGGCUCGUUCUCGAGUCGCCGUUAAGCCUCGCGAACGUACGGCUCGCGGCCGACCGAGGCCCAUUGCCGCGGCGCGUGCCUCCUCYCUCGGGGGGAGGCUGGUGUCUCGUUUCGUCGAUCCGGUUGUCGACUGUGGCGGACGGCACGCCUGUGCGCUCGAACCGCUGCCGGUCGACGAGGCGGUGUACACACACCACGCGCCGAGGACGCUGACGACCAUACGGCUCCAUCCGACCCGUCUUGAAACACGGACCAAGGAGUCCAACGUGUGCGCGAGUCUCCGGGUGAUCGAAACCUGUGGGCGCAAUGAAAGUAAAGACGACCUCGCGUCGUUGAGGUGAGAACGGCCUUGCGCCGCGCAUCAUCGACCGACCUGUCCUACUCUUAGAAAGGUUCGAGUAAGAGCGCACCCGUUGGGACCCGAAAGAUGGUGAACUAUGCCUGAAUAGGGUGAAGCCAGCGGAAACACUGGUGGAAGCUCGUAGCGAUUCUGACGUGCAAAUCGAUCGUCGAAUUUGGGUAUAGCGGCGAAAGACUAAUCGAACCAUCUAGUAGCUGGUUCCCUCCGAAGUUUCCCUUAGGAUAGCUGGAGUUCACUGCAAGCAGU